AUAUCACUAAUUUAAAUUAGUCACAGAAUAAUUACAACAAUUUUUCUUUAAAUCUUUCAUUUCAGCUCUUUACCUUGACAUACCUGAUUGAAAUAAAGUAAAUAGAAACUAUGAAAUUUUGAAUCUCAGAAAUUAUAAUUCCUCACAGAAAAAAAACUGAAAAAAUAAGAAUAUCAUCUAUGUAAUGUAUACAAAAUUGAUCAAAUUUGUCUAGUAUACUAUUCAGAGCUUUAACUAAACUAGAACAAGCUGAUUGGAGUCCAAAUGGUACAACCAAGAAUUGAUAAACUUGUCCAUCUAUCAUGAAUCCGGUAUAUUGUUGUGAUUCCUUAUGAAGAGGGAUUAACCAAAAACUAUGUAAAAGAUCUAAUUUAGUAAAAUAUUUUGCAUGUGUUAUUCUGCCAAAAACAUGAUUUAUAUUUAUGGGAGUUUCAUAUUGGGGUUUCGUAUAUUGAUUUAAAUUUCUAGCGUCUAAACAAAUUCUAAUGUCACCUGAUUUUUUUUUAACAAUUACUAUAGGAUUUAUAUAACUUGUUUUGCUUUUAACUAUAAUUCCCUUUUGUUGAAGCUUUUCUAACUCAAAUUUAACUUGCUCCCUGUAGCAAUAUGGAAUAGGAUAGUUUCUACUUUUAAAAUUUUGUAUAUUAAAAACCUCAAUUUUAUGCACAUAAUUCUUAGCAAUUCUGUUUUCGUUGUUGAAUAAAUUUUGAAAUUUUAAUAUAUUAUUAAAUAAUAAAUUUUUAUGUUCCUCUUUGCAUAUCAUUUGUCUUAUAAUUAUCUUCAGUUUAUCUAUAUAUGUCACUUCUUUAUCACGUUCAAGGUAUCUAUUAUCUUCAUUUUGGCAUAAUCUAUUAUUAAAAGUAGAAACUUUCUUUUCAAUAUUUGAAUCAUUAAUGUCUUGUUUUUUAUUAUAAUUUGUAAAGGUUUCUUUUAAAGACAAAUCAUACUGAGGUAUUCUCUCUUCAUUUUUCAAAUAAUUUGGUAUAUCACUACUUUCGUCAUUGGCAAAAUUAUCACAAUUAUAAUUUUCAUUUAAGUUUAUGACUUCAAAAUAAUCAAUUCUUUUAUGUGGAUUCUUUAUAGGAGAUUCAUAUAUACUUGUAUCCUCUAUGGGCUUUACUUGAAUAGCUUCCAUAAUAGUAUCAUUGAAUGAAAUAUUAUUAGUUAUUUUCUUAUCAUGAUUAUAGGUAUUAUUUUCAACUGUAUUAUCUAUUGAAUCUAUCAUUUCUGUUAAUAAUUUGCCAUGUCGGAAAACCUUCUUGUUUGAUAUAUCAAAUACUAAUUCUAAAUUAUGCAUGGUUUCAAUGCCUAGAAUAGCCUCGUAUAUCAUGUCUUUAACCACCACAAAUUCUAUAUUGAAAUUUUGGUCACCGAUUUGAAUUUUUAAAUGUAUAAUUCUAUUACUUUGAGCUAAUUUUUUAUUGGUAUAUCCUAUCAUGUUGAUUUGUGGUAUUUUCAUUAUUGAUUGUUGGUAAUUUGGUAUUUUUUUAAUUAUAGUCUCAUUAAUCAGAUUCACCUCACUUCCUGUGUCAUUCAACAUUUGAAAUUUUACAUUAUUACAGUUACAAUUUAAAUAUAAAAGUGUGGUUUUUUCUAUCGGUUCAGUUUCAUCAUCUAACGUUAUAAAUUCUCUAGGAUGAGCGUAAGCAGUUUUUAAUUGUCCGAGGCAUGUAUUUGAAAAUCCUGUUCAGCAUGAAGUGUUAUUCUGUCUGGAUCUGUUUUAUAUGUUCCGGUUUUUGGUUUUUCUGUCGUGUCUACGUUUUCUCUAUAUCGGUUAGAAUUUUGUCUAUAUGUAUUUUGUCUGUUAGUAUGGUUAUAAGUCUGAUUGUUCUGAUAUUGUCUGUCUCUAUCCUGAAAUUUAUUGUUAUUGUAAUUGGUAUUAUGUGAAUUUUGAUUAGUCCUUUCAUUAUUGUUAUACCUAUUCUGAUUUGCUUUAUGAUUAUUAUUCCAACGGUUAUUAUUAUAUUGAUUUUCCUGUCUAUUAUAUCGAUUAUAUUGUCCAUUUUGGUAAUUCUGAUGGUAUUUGCUUGGAUCAUUAGAUAUAUAAUUUCUCUGAUAUUCAUUUGGAUUAGUUCUAUUAUUACUAUUCAAUAUGCCUUGUACUCGUUGCAGAUAUUUAAUCAAUUCCUUUAAAGUAAGUAUCUCUGUAAUCAUAAUAUGUUGACAAAUUUGUUCCGGGUAGUGAUUUGCCAAUGCUUGAAUUAACUCAUACUCUGUUAAUUUAGGACUUAGGUAUCGUGCAUUUUGAUAUAUUUUCAGAGUAUAUUCAACGUAACUAUCUUUAAAAUGUUCACGAUAUUUUCCAGUUACCAAUAAUUUUUUAAUUUCUGAUUGGAUAGAAGCACUCCAAUAAAAUGAUAAGAAAUUUUUUUCAAAUUCUUCAAAAUUUUCAAAUUCUUCUGAUUGAAUGGACCACCACAAAUUUGCCUCUCCUAUCAUAGUUUUAUCUAUUACAUUUUUAAUCACUUGCCAAUUUUGAGAAAUGUUUUUCAAUUUUUCUAAAUAUGAAUUUGGAUUCAAGUUUUUGUAAUUACCAUCAAACUUAAACUCUAAAUUUUGAUAAUUUUGAAACAACAUUGAACUGGUAUUACUUGAAUUUUGUAAAUUUUGAUAUUCUGAAUGAAGUAUUUUAAUUUGUUCUCUGUUAUUACAAACUGUUUUAUUCAUCAUUUCUAUUGCAGGCCUAAAAUUGAUUGAGAUAUUUUCCGCUUCUUUCUCAAUUUUGUCCAUACAUUCUUGUCUAACUUCCUGUAUUGCUUCAUCGGUGUAUAAAAUUAGAUUUUGUUUAACAUUUUCUAUCGAUUGUUCCAAAUCAUUUCGUAUUUCUUGCUUAUAUUCUCUAAUUUCAGUUUUAAUUGAAUUAAAAUCUUUGGCCAAAUCUGAUUUUUGUACUUGUAAAAAUUUCAUGAUUUGUUCCAAUGUAGUUGUA
Molecule: long non-coding RNA, 2929 nt
Organism: Coccinella septempunctata (seven-spotted ladybird)
Lineage: Eukaryota; Metazoa; Arthropoda; Insecta; Coleoptera; Coccinellidae
Exons: 2
Source: RefSeq, a predicted model, not a curated record